Molecule: transfer RNA, 86 nt
Filed under: Actinomycetota bacterium
Lineage: Bacteria; Bacillati; Actinomycetota
Description: Actinobacteria bacterium tRNA-Tyr
Rfam family: tRNA
About the family: Transfer RNA (tRNA) molecules are approximately 80 nucleotides in length. Their secondary structure includes four short double-helical elements and three loops (D, anti-codon, and T loops). Further hydrogen bonds mediate the characteristic L-shaped molecular structure. tRNAs have two regions of fundamental functional importance: the anti-codon, which is responsible for specific mRNA codon recognition, and the 3' end, to which the tRNAs corresponding amino acid is attached (by aminoacyl-tRNA synthetases). tRNAs cope with the degeneracy of the genetic code in two manners: having more than one tRNA (with a specific anti-codon) for a particular amino acid; and 'wobble' base-pairing, i.e. permitting non-standard base-pairing at the 3rd anti-codon position.
Source: RNAcentral
GGUAGCUUGCCCGAGUGGCCAAAGGGAGCAGACUGUAAAUCUGCCGGUUCACGCCUACAGUGGUUCAAAUCCACUAGCUACCACCA